Molecule: ribosomal RNA, 253 nt
Filed under: uncultured bacterium
Lineage: Bacteria
Description: partial 16S ribosomal RNA
Rfam family: Bacterial small subunit ribosomal RNA
Source: RNAcentral
UACGGGGGGGGCAAGCGUUGUUCGGAAUUACUGGGCGUAAAGGGCUCGUAGGCGGCCAACUAAGUCAGACGUGAAAUCCCUCGGCUUAACCGGGGAACUGCGUCUGAUACUGGAUGGCUGGAGUUUGGGAGAGGGAUGCGGAAUUCCAGGUGUAGCGGUGAAAUGCUUAGAUAUGACAUAGAACACCAAUUGCGAAGGCAGCUUACUACACAGUUAUUGACGCUGAGGCACGAAAGCGUGGGGAUCAAACAGG